Molecule: long non-coding RNA, 827 nt
Organism: Drosophila virilis
Lineage: Eukaryota; Metazoa; Arthropoda; Insecta; Diptera; Drosophilidae
Source: RefSeq, a predicted model, not a curated record
AAAUAUAUAUUAUUUUAUAUACAUAUUUGCGUGUGUGUGUGUUUUCUUUUACACAUUCGUCGCAUGUUAUCGACUUUCGAAUCAUAACAAAUGCACAAAAACGCAGCCGAUUCUCUGUUGACCGAGCAGGGUAUUUGAAGGGCUGCAAACCCAAAAGAAAUCAAAAUUGUCGAAGGUUCGGCUUAAGGUUCGAACCAACUUCCCAUGCUUAAAGAUAAGCCAGCCUUCAUUUGCAUAGAUAUUGUGGGCCAGCUCUUACCUCGGCCUGGUCCUGCUCGCAGGCGUAUUCGACGUUUUGGAAUAUUUGCCAAUUGCAGCGCUUUCGCAUUUCCUGUCGUGCCUGAUGUCGGCGAUACCAUUUCUGUAUAAAUAUUGCUGCUCUGAUUGCUGAAAUAAAUUGACAGACAGAUUUUAAGACGUUAACAAAAAGAAGUUGCAACUAAAAAAAGCGAGAUAAUAAGUAAAUUCAUGUUACUUAAUAUUACAGGCUUCUCUCUCUCUCUCUCUCUAUGGCUGCAUCUCUCUGCUGUCGCUUGCAACAGGGUUUCUGCAUGAGCACACAGGUUGGCGGAAGGAAAUGCACUCGGCAGGAAAUGCAGACGGGCUGAUUGAGUGAUUGAUUGCUUUAUCGUUAAGGAUGCGUGACACACACACACACACACACACACACACACACACAGUAUAUAUAUGGUGUAGGGACAUGCUUUCUCUGACUGUCACAUAAUUACAAUUACAUUAUUACUUGCCGUUGUCAUCCAUUAUUAUGUAAUAGACUUGGAGAACGGAGUGCGAAUAUAAUAGUCCUUGUGACUGCCGUCCGUAGUCAA